RNAcentral lists this ribosomal RNA (228 nucleotides) under uncultured Eubacteriales bacterium. Its description in RNAcentral is "uncultured Clostridiales bacterium partial 16S ribosomal RNA". It matches the Rfam family "Bacterial small subunit ribosomal RNA", at positions 105 to 334 of the family's 1533-position model. Lineage: Bacteria; Bacillati; Bacillota; Clostridia; Eubacteriales. The record is from RNAcentral.
GGUGAGUAACGCGUGAGUAACCUGCCUUACACAAGGGGAUAGCCGUUUGAAACGACGAAUAAUACCCUAUGAAACUAUCACUUCGCAUGAAGCGAUAGUCAAAGUGUUAGCGGUGUAAGAUGGACUUGCGUCUGAUUAGCUAGUUGGUGAGAAAAAGCCCACCAAGGCAACGAUCAGUAGCCGGCUUGAGAGAGUGUACGGCCACAUUGGGACUGAGACACGGCCCAG